GAUGAACGCUGGCGGCGUGCCUAAUACAUGCAAGUCGAACGCUGAAGGAAUGAGCUUGCUCUUUCCGGGUGAGUCGCGCACGGGUGAGUAACGCGUAGAUAACCUGCCUGGUAUCGGGGGAUAACUAUUGGAAACGAUAGCUAAUACCGCAUAACAGUAGGUGUUGCAUGAUAUCUACUUAAAAUGUGCAAUUGCACCACUACCAGAUGGACCUGCGUUGUAUUAGCAGGGUGGUGAGGUAACGGAGCACCAAGGCGAGGACACGUAGCCGAACUGAGAGGGUGAGCAGCCAGACUGGGAGUGUGACCGGGCCCAUGGUGCCUGGGGAGGGGGCAGUAGGGCAACGUGGGGAAGGGGCGGGAGUCUGACCGAGAAAGGCCGAGGGAGGAAAGAAGGUUUUCGGAUCGGAAAGGACGGUUGUAAGGGAAGAAAGAGUGUGAGAGUGGAAAGUUCACUCUGUGACGGUAACUGAUAAGAAAGGGAUGGCUAACUACGUG
RNAcentral lists this ribosomal RNA (497 nucleotides) under uncultured bacterium. RNAcentral's name for it is "partial 16S ribosomal RNA". It matches the Rfam family "Bacterial small subunit ribosomal RNA", at positions 28 to 507 of the family's 1533-position model. The record is from RNAcentral.